RNAcentral lists this ribosomal RNA (746 nucleotides) under uncultured bacterium. Its description in RNAcentral is "bacterial SSU rRNA". It matches the Rfam family "Bacterial small subunit ribosomal RNA", at positions 505 to 1241 of the family's 1533-position model. The record is from RNAcentral.
GUGCCAGCAGCCGCGGUAAUACGGGGGGGGCAAGCGUUAUCCGGAUUUACUGGGUGUAAAGGGAGCGUAGGCGGCCAUGCAAGUCAAAAGUGAAAACCCGGGGCUCAACCCUGGGAGUGCUUUUGAAACUGUGCGGCUAGAGUGUCGGAGGGGUAAGUGGAAUUCCUAGUGUAGCGGUGAAAUGCGUAUAUAUUAGGAGGAACACCAGUGGCGAAGGCGGCUUACUGGACGAUGACUGACGCUGAGGCUCGAAAGCGUGGGGAGCAAACAGGAUUACAUACCCUGGUAGUCCACGCCGUAAACAAUGAAUACUAGGUGUCGGGGGUCAUAAUACUUUCGGUGCCGUCGCAAACGCAGUAAGUAUUCCACCUGGGGAGUACGUUCGCAAGAAUGAAACUCAAAGGAAUUGACGGGGACCCGCACAAGCGGUGGAGCAUGUGGUUUAAUUCGAGGCAACGAGAAGAACCUUACCAGGCCUUGACAUCCUGUUGACCAUCAGAGUAAUGUCUGACUUCCUUCGGGACAACAGAGACGGGUGGUGCAUGGUUGUCGUCAGCUCGUGUCGUGAGAUGUUGGGGUUAAGUCCCGCAACGAGCGCAACCCUUACCCUUAGUAGCCAGCGGUUCGGCCGGGCACUCUAGGGGGGACUGCCAGGGAUAACCUGGAGGGAGGGCGGGGAUGACGUCAAAUCAUCAUGCCCCCUUUAUGGGUCUGGGGCUACACACGUGCUACGAUGGGCGGCCACA